Molecule: ribosomal RNA, 87 nt
Filed under: Trueperella bialowiezensis
Lineage: Bacteria; Bacillati; Actinomycetota; Actinomycetes; Actinomycetales; Actinomycetaceae
Description: partial 16S ribosomal RNA
Rfam family: Bacterial small subunit ribosomal RNA
Source: RNAcentral
GGGGGAGCGGUCGAAGGUGGGACUGGCGAUUGGGACGAAGUCGUAACAAGGUAGCCGUACCGGAAGGUGCGGCUGGAUCACCUCCUU